Molecule: long non-coding RNA, 1558 nt
Filed under: Canis lupus familiaris (dog)
Lineage: Eukaryota; Metazoa; Chordata; Mammalia; Carnivora; Canidae
Description: lncRNA (ENSCAFG00000053385.1)
Source: RNAcentral
UUUUUUUUUUUUUUUUUUUUUUUUUUUUGGGAUUCCAGCUUUUUUUAUUUUUCCCAUUUUACACAAAACAAAGUAGAAGAAUACAAGAUUAAAACUGCAAAAGUAGUUAAUUGGUAGAACAUAUAUACACAAAAAAAAUCCAGAUAGCAAGACAAGCUUAUCUACAAUAAGGAAACACAUGUAAAAAUUAAGGUAGUUUGUAGUUUUCAUAUUAAACAUUAAAAAAAAAUGCUACAAUGGGUGCCAUUGUUUACAGUAAUAUUGAAGGGGGAAACAACACUUAUUUAGGGACAGAUAUACCACAAGGUCCAGCAUCAGUGCAAUAAAUUCACAAAACUAUAUUACAGCUAGUUAAUCAGAGUUUAAGAACUGUUCCCAAAUGUCACAUUUUCGGCCCUCAGAGGUUCAUUCCUACAGAUUUCAGCUAUUCUAAAUUUUUAGCUAUUGAGAGGAAGAAUGAUUCUAAGAUACUUUCCAAGGAGUUACAAAAUCUCUGUAGACCAGAGGCCACCUAUCAUGGCCAAAGUCUGCUCUCCCCAACUGCCCUUGCAACCUCCAAAGAAGUAUCUAGGAAAAAAGUCAGAAGCCUGCAUAGCCACCACCUCCUGUGCCAAAUCUAUGGGGACCAAAGCAGCCAGCAAUUACUUUCAAAUGAGACUCUUGAGGCUUACCUUUAAAGGCUUAAUCUGGUCUGGAAAAUUAGUAGGACAAGAUUAUUUUCUACUGAAAUGACGCUUGACUAAGUAUAGGAAGACUUCUGUCCUUUAUUGGCUGGUGAUGGAGUAAAGGUCAUAGACCUGAGUCUUAACCUAUUAUGUACUUUAGUUUCAGCUAAAAAUCUGAAAUAAAAAUAUGCUAAAAAUCCUAAACACAAACUUUUAGAAGCCUGCUGUUAAAUAGCCUUUAAGGAUCUACUAACUUGAAGUCUAAGAGCAAAGAGAGAAAAGCUCGAAGGCUGUUAUAUUCUCCGUUUGGGAGGAAAGAUCAAUGUUUCUUACAAAUUACUAAUUUUGCAUAAGGCAGAAACCAACACAUACUAUGGCAUGGAAAUGGUUUCAUUUUAUUCCAGAAGGAUUCUUCUCCCACAGUAUAGAAACAGCAUGAGGAAUGAAUCUUAAUUGGUCUCUUCAUCAGAAGUGGUAAACUUGGUCUCUAUAUUCAUGAAGCCAGACAGUUAAAGCAGACUGUGGAAGCAGACAGUAGAACCAGCUUCCUGUAGCCACAGACCACUACCUUGUAUCUAGCUAAAGCAAAGAUCAACUGGAACAAUUAUCCAAAGUCACAGUUAACUGUACUAAAAGAUGAAGUUCACCACUAUAUUAUUUUAAAGAAGUUGCCUAAAAGUAAGAAUUCAAUUAACCUGGGUGAGAAAAAUCAAAAGUCAUACUCACGAAUGAGUUGUCCAUAUAAGGCCAACUGAUGAGAAUGCAUCCAGCUACACUUCACAUGAAGACACUAUGCAUAAUGCCUUACUUGGUAAGUCUGAACUUCUACUAACUAAGGGCAGAAAAAGGGAGAGCAAAGAACUACUUCUGUAACAUUUUAGUAUCCAGACAGC